GGUAUAGUGGCCGAAUGUCAGGCGGUAGGCUGUAGUCCUACUCACAUUGGUUAAUUCCUUUCUGUACC
This 68-nucleotide transfer RNA is filed under the name Anolis strahmi. Its description in RNAcentral is "tRNA-Tyr". The record is from RNAcentral. Lineage: Eukaryota; Metazoa; Chordata; Lepidosauria; Squamata; Anolidae.